ACCCGCUGAACUUAAGCAUAUCAAUAAGCGGAGGAAAAGAAACCAACAGGGAUUGCCCCAGUAACGGCGAGUGAAGCGGCAACAGCUCAAAUUUGAAAUCUGGCUCUCGGGCCCGAGUUGUAAUUUGUAGAGGAUGCUUUUGGUGAGGUGCCUUCCGAGUUCCCUGGAACGGGACGCCAUAGAGGGUGAGAGCCCCGUCUGGUUGGACGCCGAACCUCUGUAAAGCUCCUUCGACGAGUCGAGUAGUUUGGGAAUGCUGCUCUAAAUGGGAGGUAUAUGUCUUCUAAAGCUAAAUACCGGCCAGAGACCGAUAGCGCACAAGUAGAGUGAUCGAAAGAUGAAAAGAACUUUGAAAAGAGAGUUAAACAGUACGUGAAAUUGUUGAAAGGGAAGCGCUUGUGACCAGACUUGGGCUUGGUUGAUCAUCCGGGGUUCUCCCCGGUGCACUCUUCCGGCCCAGGCCAGCAUCAGUUCGCCCUGGGGGACAAAGGCUUCGGGAACGUGGCUCUCUCCGGGGAGUGUUAUAGCCCGUUGCGUAAUACCCUGUGGCGGACUGAGGUUCGCGCAUUCGCAAGGAUGCUGGCGUAAUGGUCAUCAGUGACCCGUCUUGAAACACGGACCAAGGAGUCGUCUUCGUAUGCGAGUGUUCGGGUGUCAAACCCCUACGCGAAAUGAAAGUGAACGCAGGUGAGAGCUUCGGCGCAUCAUCGACCGAUCCUGAUGUUAUCGGAUGGAUUUGAGUAAGAGCAUACGGGGCCGGACCCGAAAGAAGGUGAACUAUGCCUGUGUAGGGUGAAGCCAGAGGAAACUCUGGUGGAGGCUCGCAGCGGUUCUGACGUGCAAAUCGAUCGUCAAA
This 856-nucleotide ribosomal RNA is filed under the name fungal sp. mh1129.1. Its description in RNAcentral is "eukaryotic LSU rRNA". It matches the Rfam family "Eukaryotic large subunit ribosomal RNA", at positions 23 to 909 of the family's 3401-position model. Lineage: Eukaryota; Fungi. The record is from RNAcentral. RNAcentral also lists the same sequence under 1 other name.